This 71-nucleotide transfer RNA is filed under the name Gloeobacterales cyanobacterium ES-bin-313. It matches the Rfam family "tRNA". Rfam says of the family: Transfer RNA (tRNA) molecules are approximately 80 nucleotides in length. Their secondary structure includes four short double-helical elements and three loops (D, anti-codon, and T loops). Further hydrogen bonds mediate the characteristic L-shaped molecular structure. tRNAs have two regions of fundamental functional importance: the anti-codon, which is responsible for specific mRNA codon recognition, and the 3' end, to which the tRNAs corresponding amino acid is attached (by aminoacyl-tRNA synthetases). tRNAs cope with the degeneracy of the genetic code in two manners: having more than one tRNA (with a specific anti-codon) for a particular amino acid; and 'wobble' base-pairing, i.e. permitting non-standard base-pairing at the 3rd anti-codon position. Lineage: Bacteria; Bacillati; Cyanobacteriota; Cyanophyceae; Gloeobacterales. The record is from Rfam by way of RNAcentral.
ACGAGUGUGGUGAAACGGUAUCAUCGCGGUCUCCAAAACCGUUGUUCUUGGUUCAAAUCCAAGCAUUCGUG